UACUGCUGCUGCGGCGGCGGCUGCUGCUGAGGUUGAAGCCGCUCUCAUUUUCUCCGCUCGCACUCGCCUUCUCUCUCAGCCGCAGGUAAACCCUUUUCUCUCUCUCACAGCAGAUAGCUUGUUUAUGUUUUUCAGAUGUAAACAGAUUAUAAAGAAAUUAUUAAUUGUUGGUAAAUAUUGUAAUAUUUAUACCAGUUAUAUAUAGCAUAAUCAUUUCAAAUUAGCCAAAAUCAUGGAGGUGAUGAGAAAACAUUAUCAUUUCAAAUUCGCGCUUACUUACAAAGUCAAAAUAAUUGGAGGCGAAAACAAAGUUGGUUGCUAAAGAACUAGUUAGGAAAAAGUUACGAAAAGGUUUAUAGGAUUACUAUUUUAGACAAAAGUUCAAAAGUUACAUCAACCUAAGUAGCAUUGAGAUCAUUUCAUUCUAAUAUAUAAAACAACCAAACACAAUUUUUUAUUUUAUUUUAUUAGAUUGAGUUAUUUCAUUCUCACCUUAAUUCUUAGGAUCCAAAAAUUACAUCUGAAUUAUUCGAGAUUUUAUAUGAAUAAAUUAAAUUACCUUAGAUUUUCCCUAGUUUCUCCGUAACCAUUUGGCCCUUCCCCAAAUUCUCAUAUAAAUCAUAUAUAACAUGAAAUGAAAUGUAUCUUUAAAAUUAAAUUAUAAUAAAAUAAUUUUUUUAAAAAAACACUUGCAUAAAUUAUUUAACAAUAAACAACUUCGUGUGUGUUUAUAUAUAUAUAUAUAUAUAUAUAUAUAUACACACACACACACACACAUAGUAGAGAUCUGGUCCGGGCGCCCGGAUGUUGCCAAAAAUCCAAACUUUUCAUUUCAGCUGUGAGAUACAUCCAACGGCGAGGAAAGGACAGAGACCUUUUGGGAAAAAAAGCCGCGGAUCUCUCUUCGGGUCAAAAAAAGGACAGAGACCAUCUUGCUUCCCCUCAAUUGCGCAAAGCAUCUCGCCGGACAAAAUCUGGCUCAUUCUCUUUCGGGUCAAAUCUGUUACGCAUCUCGCCGGACGAAAGCAUGUUCGUCGUCUCUGUCUCCGGCCGAAAACUCACAGCGAUUUAGUCUCCAACCAAGAACAAUCGCGAUUUAGGAGUCUCCCAAGGUAUUUUCUAAUUUUCUGUUUGAACCUAAUGAAUGAAAUCUAGGGUUUGUGUGUAAUCUUAUUGUAUAGGAUUUUGUAAUUUUGAGUUGAUUGUUGGAUUCGCCUCCACCCAGAUGGGUUCAUUUUGCUCACGGAUUACUUCUCUUCCUCAUUCCUGUUUCAAUAUGUCCUUCAUGUACAUAUGUUGUUGCAUUUUAUGUCUUUAGGUUUAGUUUACCAGGAUACUAGGUAGAUUAUUUCAUUGGGUCUCUUGAGCCUUAAUUUUAGGUUGCUCUCUUUUAUAAAGGAUGAUUCGGUUUCAACUGCUGACAUCUGUACCAGUUGGUUCAUGACAUCUGUACAAGUUGGUUCAUGAUUAACUGUUACACUGAAAAUUAAACUUCAGCCAUUCCCAUUCAUACAUUGAAAAAAGCUUCUUGAAUAGGUUAGAGUUUGUGAAAUAUUUUUUUAGUUCAAAAAUAAUCUCAUCUUACAUUUCUUAAACAACACUAUCUUAUAAUUUACUUUGUUGCAAUAAGAUGGAGAAUGUAUUCCUUUCAGUAAUUAUGGUUUAAUCUUGUCCAACGCAUUUUUAGACUUUUGACACCGUUGAUGGUAAGCAAGCAAAACGGACAAAUUCUGAUAGUUCGUUGAUUUUAUUUUCAUGUGCUGUUUUACAAUUUCCUUACUCUGUCUCUCUUUUUUGUUUCCUUUCCUCAACUUUUCCCGACGUUUACAAAUUACAAAUUUGUGUGUAACCAUUCAUGAUCAUCAACUGCAUUGUUCUGAGCAGCUGGAUAUAUGAUAUCAUUUGGGGACAGACGGAAGAAGCUAGUAUAUAUAUGAAUAAUACUGACAUUGUAUGUCCUCAAUUAGUUGCAAAGGGAAGUGAUUUAAAAUACCAAAUUUAGUAAAGUCUCAACUUUUCAUUUAGUAACAUAUUUGAGAAAAAAGAGAUGAACUCACGCACGCACGCACACCAGAUUAGCUAAGGAAUUGAUGCACUUGUGACCAGAAAACCUUAUUAGUUUGGGGGUGAACGUCAAACUAAUAUCUAAAGCUGAUAGGCCAGUCCACAUGUCAAUAAUUUUUAAUACUCCCUCUUUCUAAAUUAUAGUAAUAGGAUCAUUAUUGACAGUUAAAAAUUAAAUUGAGAUUUUUAAAACAUUGCAAUCUUAUGGUGGUUUUGGUAGAUAAGGUUCAACAAAGGCAUGUAUACGUCAAGCAACAUGAGCAUUCAAACUCAUGAUACCCGAUUUCGAAACAAGAUGUGUUAUUGUCGCC
Molecule: long non-coding RNA, 2375 nt
Filed under: Panax ginseng (ginseng)
Lineage: Eukaryota; Viridiplantae; Streptophyta; Magnoliopsida; Apiales; Araliaceae
Description: long non-coding RNA (PGIN_LNC016342)
Source: RNAcentral